GUGCUUGUUUUGGCAGCAUAUAUGCUAAAACUAGAAUAAUAUAGAGAAGAUGAGCAUGGCCCCUGUGCAAGGAUGACACACAGAUUCAUGAAGCAGUCCAUAUUCUU
Small nuclear RNA from Mustela putorius furo (domestic ferret), 107 nucleotides. NCBI's taxonomy places the organism in Eukaryota, Metazoa, Chordata, Mammalia, Carnivora, Mustelidae. The record is from Ensembl.